Felis catus (domestic cat) is the source of this 2012-nucleotide long non-coding RNA. RefSeq lists it as uncharacterized. The transcript is spliced from 2 exons. The record is from RefSeq and is a predicted model, not a curated record. Lineage: Eukaryota; Metazoa; Chordata; Mammalia; Carnivora; Felidae.
GGAGGGGCUGGCUGGCGGGCCGCGCCGCGCCGCGCGGAGGGGCGUGAGGUUCGGCUGGGGAGGUGGGGCCAGCUCCAGAGCGCGGGAGAUUUCGGCGCCGCGGGCUGGCCGGCUUCCUCGGCUGCCGCCCGCCACCCUUUCCCUGCGGCCCGCGGAGCUUCCCCCAACUCCAGCCCCGCAGUCUCUAGGACCGUAAACCCCCACCCCCCAGGGAGGAGCUCCUUUGAAACCCACUUCCCACUCAAUUCCACCCCCGGGUUUACAGACUUCUCUAUCUGUCAGACCCUCCGACCUCCCCCAGGGCUGUGACUCAGGCCACCCCUUGCUCCAGCCGCGCUCACCAGUGACUCACACCUUCGGCUUGUCCGGGAGAGGUGUUACUCAGCCCUGGGCUCUCCCGCCAGGCCUCCCUCCCCUGUCCUCCUCUGCCCUCCCCAGCCCAGGGUCGUCCUGAGUUGUACACGUAGCACACAGGCCUCCAUCCCCUCCCUACCCAGGAUCCCAGACUUUUCCCUUGAAUUCCUUGUUUUGGGGUCCUGUUCUUUCAACGAUUGGGAGAAGCUAAGACAGAUCACCCCUCCCUAACGGAAUCCUGGUUUGUAGGGCUCAUCCAAAUGCUUAAAUGAUUCCUGCCGGUACUGCGGGACCCAGAGACCUGAUUUCAAUUGCAUAGACAAUACACCCAAUCUUUCUUCGCUACUGGAGCUGCCAAAUGGGAGAGGGCAGUGUUCAAAUCAAAGGGCACUUCUGUUGAGCCCCUACUGUGUCCAAUGGUUUGGGCUAAGGGUGACAGUGGAGAAAAUAAUUCAUCAUCUUUGCUUCAAAAGGACACUGGUAGGGAGGAGAUUCCACGUUGGGUGAGAUGGACCACACUUCUGGCAGCCCGAAGGGAAUUUAAUUUCCUGUUGACUAUCGGAAGUUGUGUUCUCUGGAAGUCUACUUAAAACAUUUGCUUUAAAGGGAAUGAUUUUAAACCUUGGCUGUAUAUUAGAAUCCCAGCCACUGCGUCCCGAAUCUCUGCGCUGAGGCCCCGGGAUCGCUAUGCAAUUGUGAUUGCCAGCUAAGAUCUUUUAAAGGAUCCUGAUUCGUGGAGAAAAAAACUCCCUUAGAAAGUUUUAGCUGUGAUAGUGAUAAGAGUUCUCUACAAGAGGUCUGCAGACCUAUCUUUGAAGAAUUGAUGCUCCUUAGAUGUGACAAUUUGUUGUUCUUAUGACACAUUAUUUCUUUAAAGAUAGAACAUCACGUACAUUAAUUUGGGACAGGUUUUUGUUUUUGUUUUUGCUUGUUUUGUAUGUAUGUAUGUCAGCAGUGGUCAUGUCUGGAUUCUGGGAGGCUUUUUCCUCACCCAAGGUUAUUAAGAUUUGGGGAAUUACUUAUCCAGCCUAUUUUAUGACUAUGUUACCAGUGAAAUAAGAUGAAUUGCCUGGAGGCUUGCUUAGGGUAAGAGCCAGCAGAAAAGAUGAGACCUGUUGAGGAAAGUUGUCUGCUGAAAAGAAAAUGCUAAGCUGUUUCCAUUUCUCCAGCUGCCUUUUAUCAAGAUUUUUAAGCCCCUGUCUGAAGCAGUCUGUUACAGUCAGAGCAUGCAGGCCAGGGGCAAGUGAAACCUUGUAUUCCCAAAGGGCACUAAACACACUAGUCAGCAAACUGUGGAAUUGAACACAGGCAGGGGAAAUUUGGAUUCGGUUAGUUUCUUUUGCCCUCUCUCUCUCUCAUAGUUUUAUAUAUGAAAUUCACUGAAUGUCAGCUGGUGGUUGGAUACAUUUGAAGGACGUAUAGAGUUUGGAGGCUUAGGAGCAGAGGCUCCAAGAGCCAGCCAGAAUGAGACUUCAAAUUAUGACUUCACAACUUACAUGCUGUGAUCUCGCCCAAGUUAUUUAACCUUUCUCAGCCCCAGUUUCCUCUUCUGUGAAAUGGAAAUAACAGUAGUACCUUCCACCAUGCAUCAAAAUACCUGGCAUAGUGCUGGCACAGAGUAAAUGCUUAAUAAAGUUAGCUGUACUUAUUGAUGCAGA